AACGUGGUGAAAUGGAUCAUGGCUCAGAUUGAACGCUGGCGGCAGGCCUGCUAACACAUGCAAGUCGAACGGUAACAGGAAGCAGCUUGCUGCUUCGCUGAUUUGCGCACGGCAGUAAAUGUCUGGGAAACCCGCCUGAUGAGGGGGAUAACUACUGAAACGGUGGCUAAUACCGCAUAACGUCGCAAGACCAAAGAGGGGGACCUCGGGCCUCUUUGCCAUCAGAUGUGCCCAGAUGGGAUUAGCUUGUUGGUGAGGUAACGGCUCACCGCACAUCCCUAGCCAAGCCUGAGAGGAUGACCAGCCACACCUGGAACUGAGACACGGUCCAGACCCUACGGAGGCAGCAGUGGGGAAUAUUGCACAAUGGGCGCAAGUCUGAUGCAGCCAUGCCGCGUGUGGCGAAGAAGGCCUCGGGUUGUAAAGUACUUCAGCGGGGAGUGGAAGGUGUUGUGGUUAAUAACCGCAGCAAUUGACGUUACCUCGCAGAAGAAGCACCGGUUAACCUCGUGCCAGCAGCCGCGGUAAUACGGAGGGUGCAAGGUUAAUCGAAUUACUGGGCGUAAAGCGCACGCAGGCGGCCCCUGCCUGGCCGGAUGAAAUCCGGCUCAACCUCGGGAACUGCAUUCGAAACUGGCUUGAGUCUUGUAGAGGCAGAAUUCCAGUAGCGGUGAAAUGCGGUGAGGAACCCUGAGGAAUACCGGUGGCGAAGGCGGCCCCCGGACAAAGACUGACGCCUGUGUGCGAAAGCGUGGGGAGCAAACAGGAUUAGAUACCCCUCGGGUAGUCCACGCCGUAAACGAUGUCUACUUGGAGCAAGGUUGUGCCCUUUGAGGCGUGGCUUCCUAUUAACGCGUUAAGUACGACCGCCCGGGAGUACGGCCGCAAGGUUAAAACUCAAAUGAAUUGACGGGGCCCGCACAAGUGGUGGAGCAUGGUUUACCCGAUGCAAGAAGAACCUUACCCGGUCUUGACAUCCACGGAAGUUUUCGCAGAUGAGAAUGCCGUGGAACCGUGAGACAGGUGGUGCCGCAUGGCUGUCGUCAGCCCGUGUUGUGAAAUGUUAAGUUAAGUCCCGCAACGAGCGCAACCCUUAUCCUUUGUUGCCAGCGACAGGUCGGGGAACUCAAAGGAGACUGCCAGUGAUAAACUGGAGGAAGGUGGGAUGACGUCAUCAUCAUGGCCCAUGACCGUGGCUACACCACGUGCUACAAUGGCGCGCAUACAAAGAGAAGCGACCCCGGCGAGAGCAAGGACCCUCAUAAAGUGCGGCCGUAGUCCGGAUUGAGUCCGCAACCUCGACCUAUGAAGUCGUGGAAUCGCUAGUAACAAAGAUCAGAAUGCCACGGUGAAUAAUGUUCCGGCCUUGUACACACCGCCCGUCACACCAUGGGAGUGGCUGCAAAGAAGUAGGUAGCUUAACCUUCGGGAGGGCGCUACCACUUUGUGAUUCAUGACUGGGUGAAGUCGUAAAUAAGGUAUCCGUAAAACCCUGCGGUUGAUCACCACCUUA
This 1513-nucleotide ribosomal RNA is filed under the name Salmonella enterica subsp. enterica. Its description in RNAcentral is "16S ribosomal RNA". It matches the Rfam family "Bacterial small subunit ribosomal RNA". The record is from RNAcentral. Lineage: Bacteria; Pseudomonadati; Pseudomonadota; Gammaproteobacteria; Enterobacterales; Enterobacteriaceae.